Long non-coding RNA from Etheostoma cragini (Arkansas darter), 96 nucleotides. RefSeq lists it as uncharacterized. The record is from RefSeq and is a predicted model, not a curated record. Lineage: Eukaryota; Metazoa; Chordata; Actinopteri; Perciformes; Percidae. The transcript has 3 exons.
GUUGUACUCCCAGUUACAGUUUUGACGUCACACACACAUAAACAACAACGGCGACCCCUGUUGAUGCCGUUCAGAUGCCGGUGACUAGCAAUGAGA